Molecule: non-coding RNA, 167 nt
Organism: Manis javanica (Malayan pangolin)
Lineage: Eukaryota; Metazoa; Chordata; Mammalia; Pholidota; Manidae
Source: RefSeq, a predicted model, not a curated record
GGAGCAUGACUGAGAGCUGUUGAGCUGGGCCAACAGAAAGGUAAUGAUCCCGGUGAUGUCAAUGAGAAGACACUUGAGCCAGUGGUGGGAAGACAAACAGGUUGGGACAAACAGAAAUGAAGCAUGAGAGAAAUUAUUUCAGCAACUGGAAGGACAUGGAAUGCUAG